RNAcentral lists this long non-coding RNA (371 nucleotides) under Malus domestica (apple). RNAcentral describes it as "long non-coding RNA (MDOM_LNC010374)". The record is from RNAcentral. Lineage: Eukaryota; Viridiplantae; Streptophyta; Magnoliopsida; Rosales; Rosaceae.
AUUCUCCAAGUUCCCAAAAUUGAGAACCUCUAAGUUUCCACACCAAGGAUGGAUUGAUGAAGAAAUUAGUGACCUAGAGGAAGCAAGAUUGCUAGUUAAUUUCCUCUAGGGUGGCCGGCCUCUUUAGAGAGAAAAGAGAGCUUUGUGUUCUCAUCUUUUCUCCAAAAGAAACCCUAAAUGAAUUUUGGCUAUAAAGUCACAUUUAUACCUUAAUUCAUUGGAGUGGCAAACUUGUAAAUAAGUCCAAAACCCACUCCAUCUCUAAAUGGCCGGCCAUUGGGUUUCAUUGGGCUUUUAGGGCCUUUGUGAAUUAUUAGUCAUUAAGUUGUCAUACAACUUAAGUCAAUGGGCUUGACGUUCGAAGCCCAUUG